UUCAUUUCACAUUUUCUCUUCUUUCAUCAUCGUUGUCAUCGUCGUCCUCGUCCUCGUCCUCGUCCUCGUCGUGUAUUAGUAUUCGUAAUCGUUAUUACCUAAGAAUCAUUCUCGUCGUUUUAAUCUCAUUAUCAUCGUCAUCGUCGUCAUCGUCAUCGUCGUCAUCAAUUUUGUGUGUGAACGCAUAUGCGGUAGCAGCAGCCAAUUGGACUAAACCAGAGAUAUAUUAUACACAAGAUAUGGUUUAACAGGAAAUCAUUGGCGGAGGUGACGGAUGCGGUGGAAAAAGAAGAAGGAAAGCUCAAAUACGGAAA
Molecule: long non-coding RNA, 314 nt
Filed under: Polistes fuscatus (common paper wasp)
Lineage: Eukaryota; Metazoa; Arthropoda; Insecta; Hymenoptera; Vespidae
Description: uncharacterized LOC122513504, transcript variant X2
Source: RNAcentral